This 207-nucleotide ribosomal RNA is filed under the name uncultured Pelotomaculum sp. RNAcentral's name for it is "partial 16S ribosomal RNA". It matches the Rfam family "Bacterial small subunit ribosomal RNA", at positions 568 to 774 of the family's 1533-position model. The record is from RNAcentral. Lineage: Bacteria; Bacillati; Bacillota; Clostridia; Eubacteriales; Desulfotomaculaceae.
CGCGUAGGCGGUUUCUUAAGUCAGAGGUGAAAACUGUGGGCUCAACUCACAGCCUGCCUUUGAAACUGGGAGACUUGAGGGCAGGAGAGGGGAGUGGAAUUCCCAGUGUAGCGGUGAAAUGCGUAGAUAUUGGGAGGAACACCAGUGGCGAAGGCGGCUCUCUGGCCUGUUUCUGACGCUGAGGCGCGAAAGCGUGGGGAGCGAACG